RNAcentral lists this ribosomal RNA (476 nucleotides) under uncultured bacterium. Its description in RNAcentral is "bacterial SSU rRNA". It matches the Rfam family "Bacterial small subunit ribosomal RNA", at positions 28 to 507 of the family's 1533-position model. The record is from RNAcentral.
GAUGAACGCUGGCGGCGUGCUUAACACAUGCAAGUCGAACGAGGAAUUUCAAAUGAGACUUCGGUGGAUUUUGGAAUUCCGAGUGGCGGACGGGUGAGUAACGCGUGGGCAACCUGCCCUGUACAGGGGGACAACAGCUGGAAACGGCUGCUAAUACCGCAUAAGCGCACGGUAUCGCAUGAUACAGUGUGAAAAACUCCGGUGGUACAGGAUGGGCCCGCGUCUGAUUAGUUAGUUGGCGGUGUAACGGACCACCAGGACGACGAUCAGUAGCCGGCUUGAGAGAGUGAACGGCCACAUUGGGACUGAGACACGGCCCAAACUCCUACGGGAGGCAGCAGUGGGGAAUAUUGCACAAUGGGGGAAACCCUGAUGCAGCAACGCCGCGUGAGUGAAGAAGUAUUUCGGUAUGUAAAGCUCUAUCAGCAGGGAAGAAAAUGACGGUACCUGACUAAGAAGCCCCGGCUAACUACGUG